RNAcentral lists this long non-coding RNA (591 nucleotides) under Sparus aurata (gilthead seabream). Its description in RNAcentral is "lncRNA (ENSSAUG00010001216.1)". The record is from RNAcentral. Lineage: Eukaryota; Metazoa; Chordata; Actinopteri; Spariformes; Sparidae.
AUGGUUCAGUUUUUUCACAGCAAUGGCGGAGCAUGGAGCCCCGCAAAAGUUCCUUCCGCCCAAUGUGUGGAGCACACGAUCGGAGCAACACUUGAUCAAGGUGAUAUCAUCUUGCGCAUCUUUGGAGCACUUUGUUGUGGAGCGUCAGUGAUGCUGCAGGCCAGGAGUACUGAGUGGACCACAGUGAGACUGGAAACAUAGUAAGCAUAAUGGAAACCUGCUGGAGAGCGCCAGAGCUUCCUUCUCCAACACACCCUCUGCGUUUGGAAGCUCCACGAGGGAGGAACCAGUCUUUGUCCUUCGGUUCCCUUGGUUUUUGCAUUGUUUUUCCUGUUCUGUGUUCUCUGUUUUUAAUUUAAAAAAAUCCUAAACUUCCCAGUGGUGUGGUAUUUGAAAGUUUGCGGAAGUGCAAAUGCAUUGUUUGAAUAUGAUUAACCAGUCUUGACUAGUGGGAAAGUUUGUGUGAAUUGGAUUGUUUUUGCCUGCAACAGUAGUACAAAAACCAGCAUUAGCAGCACAGCACUGAGUAUUCUGACUUGGCUAAAGCUAAGAGCUAAAGCUAACAGCACCUUUGCUAAAGCUUUAACUAGC